GGUCCAGCCUGCCCAGUGACAUAGUUAAACGGCCGCGGUACCCUGACCGUGCGAAGGUAGCAUAAUCACUUGUUCUUUAAAUGGGGACUCGUAUCAACGGCAUCACGAGGGCUUUACUGUCUCCUUUCUCCAAUCAGUGAAACUGAUCUCCCCGUGAAGAAGCGGGGAUGACAAUAUAAGACGAGAAGACCCCAUGGAGCUUUAAACCCAACGACACCCCUCAACCCCCCAACCCAUUAUAGUUGCUACAGCCCUGUUCGUUGGUUUUAGGUUGGGGUGACCGCGGAGUAUAAAUUACCCUCCACGACGAAUGGGACUACCCCCUUACCCAAGAGCUACUCCUCUAAGGAUCAACAGAUUGACGUAAAAUGAUCCAAGCAUUUGAUCAACGGACCAAGUUACCCUGGGGAUAACAGCGCAAUCCAUUUCAAGAGCUCCUAUCGACAAAUGGGUUUACGACCUCGAUGUUGGAUCAGGGUACCCAAGUGGUGCAGCCGCUACUAAUGGUUUGUUUGUUCAACAAUUAAAACCCU
Molecule: ribosomal RNA, 533 nt
Filed under: Hoplobatrachus rugulosus (rugose frog)
Lineage: Eukaryota; Metazoa; Chordata; Amphibia; Anura; Dicroglossidae
Description: partial large subunit ribosomal RNA
Rfam family: Bacterial large subunit ribosomal RNA
Source: RNAcentral